RNAcentral lists this small RNA (119 nucleotides) under Moellerella wisconsensis. Lineage: Bacteria; Pseudomonadati; Pseudomonadota; Gammaproteobacteria; Enterobacterales; Morganellaceae. The record is from RNAcentral.
CGGCCUGACAACCAUUAUUAUUACAACCACCACCGAAACCACAGGUAACGGGGCGGGCUGACGCAUCUUAAAAAACAAAUGAAAAAAGCCCGCAUCCAAUAAGAUGCGGGCUUUUUUUU